GAUGAACGCUGGCGGCGUGCCUAAUACAUGCAAGUCGAGCGAACAGAUAAGGAGCUUGCUCCUUUGACGUUAGCGGCGGACGGGUGAGUAACGCGUGGAUAACCUACCUAUAAGACUGGGAUAACUUCGGGAAACCGGAGCUAAUACCGGAUAACAUAUUGAACCGCAUGGUUCAAUAGUGAAAGGCGGCUUUGCUGUCACUUAUAGAUGGAUCCGCGCCGUAUUAGCUAGUUGGUAAGGUAACGGCUUACCAAGGCAACGAUACGUAGCCGACCUGAGAGGGUGAUCGGCCACACUGGAACUGAGACACGGUCCAGACUCCUACGGGAGGCAGCAGUAGGGAAUCUUCCGCAAUGGGCGAAAGCCUGACGGAGCAACGCCGCGUGAGUGAUGAAGGUCUUCGGAUCGUAAAACUCUGUUAUCAGGGAAGAACAAAUGUGUAAGUAACUGUGCACAUCUUGACGGUACCUGAUCAGAAAGCCACGGCUAACUACGUG
Molecule: ribosomal RNA, 497 nt
Filed under: uncultured bacterium
Lineage: Bacteria
Description: partial 16S ribosomal RNA
Rfam family: Bacterial small subunit ribosomal RNA
Source: RNAcentral